GAGUAAAACAAACAAAUAAAUCAAAACUUUCAACAACGGAUCUCUUGGUUCUGGCAUCGAUGAAGAACGCAGCAAAAUGCGAUAAGUAAUGUGAAUUGCAGAAUUCAGUGAAUCAUCGAAUCUUUGAACGCACAUUGCGCCCGCCAGUAUUCUGGCGGGCAUGCCUGUUCGA
Molecule: ribosomal RNA, 172 nt
Filed under: Fusarium tricinctum
Lineage: Eukaryota; Fungi; Ascomycota; Sordariomycetes; Hypocreales; Nectriaceae
Description: 5.8S ribosomal RNA
Rfam family: 5.8S ribosomal RNA (bases 25-172)
About the family: 5.8S ribosomal RNA (5.8S rRNA) is a component of the large subunit of the eukaryotic ribosome. It is transcribed by RNA polymerase I as part of the 45S precursor that also contains 18S and 28S rRNA.
Source: RNAcentral